AGCAGCCGCGGUAAUUCCAGCUCCAAUAGCGUAUAUUAAAGUUGUUGCAGUUAAAAAGCUCGUAGUUGAAUUUCGGGGUCAGCAGGUUGGUCGUGCCACCGGUAUGCACUGGCUUUGCUGAUUCCUCCCUCUUGUAGAACCGUAAUGCCAUUAAUUUGGUGUUGCGGGGAAACAGGACUGUUACUUUGAAAAAAUUAGAGUGUUUAAAGCAGGCUAACGCCUGAAUACAUUAGCAUGGAAUAAUGAAAUAGGACGUUCGAUCCUAUUUUGUUGGUUUCUAGGGUUGACGUAAUGAUUAAUAGGGACAGUUGGGGGCAUUAGUAUUCAAUUGUCAGAGGUGAAAUUCUUGGAUUUAUUGAAGACUAACUACUGCGAAAGCAUUUGCCAAGGAUGUUUUCAUUAAUCAAGAACGAAAGUUAGGGGAUCGAAGACGAUCAGAUACCGUCGUAGUCUUAACCAUAAACUAUGCCGACUAGGGAUCGGAUGAUGUUAAUUUUUAAUGACUCAUUCGGCGCCUUAC
RNAcentral lists this ribosomal RNA (520 nucleotides) under uncultured Glomus. RNAcentral's name for it is "SSU rRNA". It matches the Rfam family "Eukaryotic small subunit ribosomal RNA", at positions 569 to 1091 of the family's 1831-position model. Lineage: Eukaryota; Fungi; Glomeromycota; Glomeromycetes; Glomerales; Glomeraceae. The record is from RNAcentral.